Canis lupus familiaris (dog) is the source of this 1738-nucleotide long non-coding RNA. RefSeq lists it as uncharacterized. The record is from RefSeq and is a predicted model, not a curated record. NCBI's taxonomy places the organism in Eukaryota, Metazoa, Chordata, Mammalia, Carnivora, Canidae. The transcript has 4 exons.
CCCCCGGACGAGGGGUGAGAGCGACCUUUCCCAACAUUCGUUAUGGGACCGUCCGCCCGGGUACGGAGCUCAUUGGAUAUUCCUGACGUCGUACCCUAGGAGCUACCGGCCUCCCUUCGCGGAGGGAACGCAGGUCCCACACGUCAGCCCAGCUGCUUCCAGAGGCCAUCAGUAAAGCUGUAAUGGUCACUCCUGAGGGGACAAGUACAGCCAUGAUGGGGAAGUGACUGCAGCAUCCUGCACCUGUGGGUUCCUUCGACAGCCCAACUGUAGUGACUGUCCUUGCAGAUUGUACAGGAUUGGCUUGCGGAGAGCCCUGCUCCGGAGGUCACAUGACCCAGGCCUGGCCAAUUGAUCCCCGCAACUCCUUGGUCAUAAGCACUGGUUCAGGGCCAGAAGAUGCCACCAAUGAGAUGGGAAGUUCUGGCAAGACAGGCAGCUCCUAGCCUGAAAAUAAGAUGUAGCUACUGGUAGGUGACGAUGUGGACUCAGUGGCUUCAUCCUUGAAAAAAGUGAGGAUUUGAGGCAUGUGUUUGCCUUCUGGACAUCUGGUGGAGAUCUCCAGGCUGACGGGAUUAGAUCACUCAUUUAGGAUGGAUGGCAUUGAAGAAACAUGAAGCAUCUUUGCCCAGCAGCCCAACCAGAAGAGACUCAUACCUCAAGAGUCUUUGGGACUCCUACUUUCUUCUCCCCAGUCUAGUUUAAGUGGAAGUAAUGUGAGGGUGCUCAGCGAGCUCCCCUAAACACAUCAGCCCUUCUUAUACCUCUAGUUGUAUCAUUAGAGAUUAUUUCCUGUGGGUCAAGAAAUUUUCUCUCUUCUAUUAAAAAUGCAUUCAUUCACUCAACAAAUAUAUAUUUGUUGAACAACAAUACUCCAAGUUCAGUGAUAGGUGUUGGGGAUGCAGUGAGGGAAAAAGCGUAGAGAGAGAUGAUAAAAUAAAAUAUAUAAGAGCAUGUCAAAUAGUGAUAUGUACCAUGAUGGCAGAGUAGAAUGGUGCAGGAGAGGAAUCAAGUCAUCAACACAGGCCCAAGGGACAUCUGAAGGAUGUGUAGGAAGUGGCCACGUGAAGAUCAGGAGAAGUGUCCCAGGUGGGGGACAGCAGGACAGAGCUCUGUGCAAGGACUGAUUUUGGUAUAUUUGAAGAACAAAAUAACCACAGGCACGGUUAAAGCACAGUGAGGGGAGGGAGGGGUCAGGGACAAGUGGGCAGCGGCCUCUCAUUCUGGGCCUCGUGAAGCAUUUGGAUUUUAUUUGGAGUACACGGGGAAGCAGUGGGACAGGGGCUGGGGAGGCACAGUGGGUUGAAUACCCCCAAAAGAUUUGUCAGUCCUAACCCCCAGGACCUGUGAAUGUGGCCUUACUUGGAGCUGGGAUCUUUGCAAAUGUCAAGAUCUCAAGAUGAGAUGAUUCUGGAUUUGGAGUGGGUCCUACAUCCAGUGACUGGUAUCCUCAUGAGAGAAAGGGGGCGGAUUUUGAGACACACAGAGCCAGGGAAAGACCAUAUGGAGACAGAGGCAGAGAUCACAGUGCUGUGUCUACAACCCAGGGAAGGCCAAUGUUUGCCCACAACCACCAGAAGCCGGAAGAGGCCAGGAAGGAUUCCAGAGGUUGCCAGCAGUCAUCAGAAGCUUGGGGAUGGACAUGGGACAGAUUUCCCUGGGACCCUCCAGAGUGAACCCACCCUACUAACACCUUGAUUUUGGAGUUCUGACCUCCAGAAUUGUGAGAAAAUACAUU